AAUGGAAUUUGCAUUUGCUGUGUAAUCUGCAAAAACCAUGAAACCCCUCAUAUUGGGAUCCGUAAUUUAUAAAACUACUUGUUGAGUAGAGAAAAUAAGAAAAUUUUCAUCUUUGAGAUAAUAUAAAAUUAUCAUUUGGAGCUGUUAACCAUGUAAAGUUUGCAGAAUAAGCUAUAUUUAGGUUUUCCAAUCUGGUUCCAGAAGGAAACCUGACUUUGAUAACAAAAAUCAGAUUGAAAAGAUAAACGAGUAUGCAAAAUCAUCACACUACAUGCACACAUAAACAUAUUAAUCCUUCAACCCAAACAAUUAUUCUAUGAGUUUUGUUAUAGAGCAUUAGGCAGCUCCCCAUGUUUGCUUUGUCAGCAACACAGCAUCAAGUUCUAUAUCAUUU
RNAcentral lists this unclassified non-coding RNA (394 nucleotides) under Hevea brasiliensis (rubber tree). The record is from RNAcentral. Lineage: Eukaryota; Viridiplantae; Streptophyta; Magnoliopsida; Malpighiales; Euphorbiaceae.